This 324-nucleotide long non-coding RNA is filed under the name Theobroma cacao (cacao). RNAcentral describes it as "long non-coding RNA (TCAC_LNC005898)". Lineage: Eukaryota; Viridiplantae; Streptophyta; Magnoliopsida; Malvales; Malvaceae. The record is from RNAcentral.
UUGCUUAUAUAUAAAAGCUAGAAAAUCUUUCCUAAUUCUUCAUUUCCUUACUAGUAGCAAGAAACUGACUUGAUCUUGGCAUUCACAAGUAGAGUUAUUAAACUAGGCUCAUCUACUUGUCAAGCCUCUUAAUUCUUAUUUCAUAUUUAGAAGAAACUAAAAUAAUUACUUUUUCUAAAUAGAGGUUUGAAGGUUUCCCAUCAGCAUUCAUUUGUUUUCCUUCAAAAUUGCCAAAGAAAUAUUGUCUAUGUACCUGGAAAAUGUUUAAUAAUUUAUAUUAACUACCUCACCAUCAAUCCCAACGAACAAAUUGUUAAUUUCAAU